RNAcentral lists this ribosomal RNA (382 nucleotides) under Cheirogaleus major (Greater dwarf lemur). RNAcentral's name for it is "partial 12S ribosomal RNA". It matches the Rfam family "Bacterial small subunit ribosomal RNA", at positions 875 to 1380 of the family's 1533-position model. Lineage: Eukaryota; Metazoa; Chordata; Mammalia; Primates; Cheirogaleidae. The record is from RNAcentral.
AAACAUAAGUAACUUAUGAACAACCUUACUCGCCAGAGAACUACAAGCAAUAGCUUAAAACUCAAAGGACUUGGCGGUGCUUUAUAUCCCUCUAGAGGAGCCUGUUCUAUAAUCGAUAAACCCCGAUAAACCUCACCAUCCCUUGCUAAUUCAACCUAUAUACCGCCAUCCUCAGCGAACCCUACUAAGGAAACAAAGUAAGCACAAACAUUCGACAUAAAAACGUUAGGUCAAGGUGUAGUCUAUGAGAUGGGAAGAAAUGGGCUACAUUUUCUAACACCAGAAUUUUCUUCACGGCAACCUUCAUGAAAUAAAAGGCCAAAGGAGGAUUUAGUAGUAGUAAGUUAAGAAUAGAGAGCUUAACUGAAUAGGGCCAAAAAGC